This 253-nucleotide ribosomal RNA is filed under the name uncultured bacterium. Its description in RNAcentral is "partial 16S ribosomal RNA". It matches the Rfam family "Bacterial small subunit ribosomal RNA", at positions 524 to 776 of the family's 1533-position model. The record is from RNAcentral.
UACGUAGGGGGCAAGCGUUGUCCGGAUUUAUUGGGCGUAAAGAGCGUGUAGGCGGCCAGGUAGGUCUGCUGUGAAAACUCGAGGCUUAACCUCGAGAUGUCGGCGGAAACCAUCUGGCUAGAGUCCGGAAGAGGAGAAUGGAAUUCCCGGUGUAGCGGUGAAAUGCGCAGAUAUCAGGAAGAACACCUAUGGCGAAGGCAGCUCUCUGGGACGGUACUGACGCUGAGACGCGAAAGCGUGGGGAGCGAACAGG